This 253-nucleotide ribosomal RNA is filed under the name uncultured bacterium. Its description in RNAcentral is "partial 16S ribosomal RNA". It matches the Rfam family "Bacterial small subunit ribosomal RNA", at positions 524 to 776 of the family's 1533-position model. The record is from RNAcentral.
UACAGAGGGUGCGAGCGUUAAUCGGAAUUACUGGGCGUAAAGCGUGCGCAGGCGGCUUUGCAAGACAGAUGUGAAAUCCCCGGGCUCAACCUGGGAACUGCAUUUGUGACUGCAAGGCUAGAGUACGGCAGAGGGGGAUGGAAUUCCGCGUGUAGCAGUGAAAUGCGUAGAUAUGCGGAGGAACACCGAUGGCGAAGGCAAUCCCCUGGGCCUGCACUGACGCUCAUGCACGAAAGCGUGGGGAGCAAACAGG